GGGCCCGCACAAGCGGAGGAACAUGUGGUUUAAUUCGAUGAUACGCGAGGAACCUUACCCGGGCUUGAAAUGCAGAGGAAUGCCGUGGAAACAUGGCCGUCAGCAAUGACCUCUGUGUAGGUGCUGCAUGGUUGUCGUCAGCUCGUGCCGUGAGGUGUCGGCUUAAGUGCCAUAACGAGCGCAACCCUCAUCGGUAGUUACCAUCAGGUUAUGCUGGGGACUCUACCGAGACUGCCGCCGUAAGGUGUGAGGAAGGUGGGGAUGACGUCAAAUCAGCACGGCCCUUACGUCCGGGGCGACACACGUGUUACAAUGGGGGGGACAAAGGGCCGCUACCUGGCGACAGGAUGCCAAUCUCUAAACCCCCUCUCAGUUCGGAUCGGAGUCUGCAACUCGACUCCGUGAAGCUGGAUUCGCUAGUAAUCGCGCAUCAGCCAUGGCGCGGUGAAUACGUUCCCGGGCCUUGUACACACCGCCCGUCAAGCCAUGAAAGCC
This 495-nucleotide ribosomal RNA is filed under the name uncultured Dysgonomonas sp. Its description in RNAcentral is "bacterial SSU rRNA". It matches the Rfam family "Bacterial small subunit ribosomal RNA", at positions 917 to 1412 of the family's 1533-position model. The record is from RNAcentral. Lineage: Bacteria; Pseudomonadati; Bacteroidota; Bacteroidia; Bacteroidales; Dysgonomonadaceae.